Molecule: unclassified non-coding RNA, 253 nt
Filed under: uncultured Nocardioidaceae bacterium
Lineage: Bacteria; Bacillati; Actinomycetota; Actinomycetes; Propionibacteriales; Nocardioidaceae
Description: contains 16S-23S intergenic spacer region
Rfam family: Bacterial small subunit ribosomal RNA
Source: RNAcentral
UACGGAGGGUGCAAGCGUUGUCCGGAAUUACUGGGCGUAAAGGGCUCGUAGGCGGUUUGUCGCGUCGGGAGUGUCAACAUCUGGCUUAGCUGGGUGCUUGCUUUCGAUACGGGCAGACUUGAGGCAUGCAGGGGAGAAUGGAAUUCCUGGUGUAGCGGUGAAAUGCGCAGAUAUCAGGAGGAACACCGGUGGCGAAGGCGGUUCUCUGGGCAUGUCCUGACGCUGAGGAGCGAAAGUGUGGGGAGCGAACAGG